RNAcentral lists this ribosomal RNA (253 nucleotides) under uncultured bacterium. RNAcentral describes it as "partial 16S ribosomal RNA". It matches the Rfam family "Bacterial small subunit ribosomal RNA", at positions 524 to 776 of the family's 1533-position model. The record is from RNAcentral.
GACGUAGGGCGCAAGCGUUGUCCGGAUUUAUUGGGCGUAAAGAGCUCGUAGGCGGCUUGUCGCGUCGACCGUGAAAACCCGCAGCUCAACUGCGGGCUUGCGGUCGAUACGGGCAGGCUCGAGUUCGGUAGGGGAGACUGGAAUUCCUGGUGUAGCGGUGAAAUGCGCAGAUAUCGGAAGGAACACCAGUGGCGAAAGCGGCUUCCUGAUCCGACACCGACGUUCAGGCACGAAAGCGUGGGGAGCAAACAGG